GCAACAACACAUCUGAAAGACUGCAAUUGAAUUGAAGAUGAGAGAGAAUUGAUGUGUGAGAAAUGGAGGAACACGAAGAGCCAUCGUCUCCAGGAGUCAGUCCGGUACUACUCAAAGAAUGCAUAGAGGAGGUGCUCAACUUUACACUCGCGUCCUUAAUCGACGAAACCCUAGGAUUCGAUAUAGGCCUUUCAAAGGAGUACUGUUCUAACCUCCUCAAGAACGACCCUGCAAACCCCAAUUGCAAUCACACCGAUUUUUCCGGAGGUGUUUCUCAAUAUCCUCUACGCAAGCCUCUAGCAUCAGCUUUGUACCAGUCUAUAUCUUCUGGAACUUUGAUCCAUGAAGACAGUUCCAUGAAGCAGAAAGAAGAAAAGUGGAAUCAAUUGGUUCUAGCAAAGGGGUCUGAAUUAGUAAAUAUGUUGAAAACUAUUGACUUUGAACUUCAUGUUCAGGAGCCUUUCUUUUCCCAGCUCAAAGAUGGCCUAAAAACAACUGAAGGAAGAUGUGCUGUUGGUGACUAUAAUAAAAUUGGAUCAGGAGCACUGCUUCUCUUCAACAAGUGUUUCGUGCUUCAAGUUCAGGAUGUCAUCAGGUAUGCUUCGUUUUCUGAGAUGUUGGAAGCAGAGAGUCUAGCAAAAGUCCUUCCUGGAGUAAAAACCACAGAAGAAGGUGUGCGGAUUUACCGGAAGUUUUACACAAAAGAGAAGGAAAGGUCAAAUGGAGUCCUUGCAAUUCGUGUUACGAAGCCAGCUGCUCAGCUUUACAUUCCUUUGGCUAGCAUACUUUUGGGAUUGAGUUACGAGGGUGUUCAGAGGCUUUUGGGUCUCACUCGUACAGCAGGAACAAUUCCAGAGGCGCUUCCUCCGCCAAGAUCAACUCUGCUUUUGUCAUUUUUGUUGCCUCAUAACCCAGAGGUUAAAGGUAGCAUCUUGACUGAUGGAGCUAGGGCCUUAGCUAAGCACAUCAACAGGAGCAGUGAUGGAUACUGGGGUAGUUUCAAUGGAAGUGAUUCCGAUAAAAACAGACUUGCUGUUGAUAUCAUUAGUCACUUAAUAGAUCAUUGUUACUGGCAAAAUAUGCAUAUUGUUCCACCACAUGGGGUGGUCUUUGAGAUAAGGAUUGCUGAUGGUUAUGGUGCUCGAUGGUCUGAAGACGGAACAAAGGAUUUGCGGCUAGAGAAAAGCUAGAAUUUUGAAUAACCUCAGACUGAAUCUCAAUAUUGUGCAGUUAAAAAUCAGAUCUUGACGACCCAAUCUCCAAAGAAUUUGCAGGAUAUAAGUGGUGAAAAAACUUCCUAUGGAUGUUGAAAAAAGUUCUCUCAGAUAACACUGGACAAGCCACAGUUUUGAAAUGAUUCCCUGUAAAACAACAUUGGCUGCCAUCAGGUGGACUAAAAUUCGCCUGUUUAAAGAUUACACCUAGCAAACAAUAGGAAAUUGUAUAAACAGUUCAUUGGAUUUCUUGAACCAUACAUGAUGGAAGGCCACUCAAAAGGAUGGAUGCACUGACUUUACUCCAGGAGACAGUUACUUUGGCCCUCUCAACUGUGAAAGUGUGCCUUAAGUGGGAAUUGUUCUAUUCUCACAUAGUCAUAACUAGAAGACAUCAAGUAUAAGCACAAGUCUCAACUCUCAAAAUUUUCAGGCUGCAUGUAUGCUCUUUCCUUUUAAAACUGAAACCAAACAUUCAAUGUACUGGCAGGACAUGGUGUCAGUCCUUGACCCAUGCACGCUGUAAUACCCCUAAUUUUAAAAGGACAGUUCUGGAAUUUAAUUUAAUUGUUUAAUUGCAUUUUUAAU
This is an RNA transcript of Cornus florida, 1802 nucleotides long. RefSeq lists it as uncharacterized. The record is from RefSeq and is a predicted model, not a curated record. The transcript is spliced from 13 exons. NCBI's taxonomy places the organism in Eukaryota, Viridiplantae, Streptophyta, Magnoliopsida, Cornales, Cornaceae.